UAUAGUAGUUUAUACGGUGACUAAUACUAUACAUUGUUAAAUUGAUAGAUUUUAUUUGGAGAAGGAGCAUAGGGGCAGCAGCUAAUUUUUUUUAGCUGCAUCAUGAUUCUUAACAUGGGCAGCAACGUACUAAUACAUUCAGUUCUUGGAAGUUUAAGCAACAACGUUAUUCGAUUUUUUUUUGGUUUUGUACAUCGCUUCAAUCUCGUUGUUCCAUCUUAUCGUGUUAUUGAAUUCGGGCUUUCUUCGAAGCGAAAUAAAGAGGAAGAAGAUUAUUUCUUGGUAUAUAAGAUUGGGAAGCCCGGGAUCUGGUUUGUGGUAAGCUUGGCUACGGUUGAUCUACGACAGGUACUGAUAGCCGGUUUGGCGACCCUUCAGCAUAGGACUUCUACUCAGCUGUUUUGGAGAGCUCCGUUGUUCCGGAGUCUAGACCUUUGGUUCAGAUCUUAUGAUGUAUAUGUAUAUGUUUAUCCAGGGGUACGGCGGGGCCCUGUCCCGUCAUAUUUCGCUAUCGAUACUCUUAGAGGUCUGUAGACAUGUGUGUGGGUUGUGUAUAGGGUCUGUUCAGCUGUGUCUAUACGAUGUGAUGUGGUAUGAUGUUCGUCUACGGUGGCAGCCUUGUCGGCUUGCAUAUGAUAUUGAUAUGUGAUGGCAGCCUUGUCGGCUUGCGUAUUAUUUCAUGA
This is a long non-coding RNA of Lycium barbarum (goji berry), 683 nucleotides long. RefSeq lists it as uncharacterized. The record is from RefSeq and is a predicted model, not a curated record. The transcript is spliced from 3 exons. NCBI's taxonomy places the organism in Eukaryota, Viridiplantae, Streptophyta, Magnoliopsida, Solanales, Solanaceae.